This 2390-nucleotide ribosomal RNA is filed under the name termite gut metagenome. RNAcentral's name for it is "bacterial LSU rRNA". It matches the Rfam family "Bacterial large subunit ribosomal RNA", at positions 14 to 2486 of the family's 2925-position model. The record is from RNAcentral.
AGAGCGCAGGGCGAAUGCCUUGGCAUCAGGAGCCGACGAAGGACGUGACAAGCUGCGAUAAGCUACGGGGAGCGGCACAUACGCAUCGAUCCGUAGAUUUCCGAAUGGGGAAACCCGGCAGAGCCAUACUCUGUCAGCGUGCGUUGAAUAAAAUAGGCGUACGCGGGGAACCGCCUGAACUGAAACAUCUAAGUAGGGCGAGGAAAAGACAUCAACCGAGAUUCCGCUAGUAGUGGCGAGCGAACGCGGAGGAGGCCAAACCGGAAGACUUCGGUUUUCCGGGGUUUGGACAGCGACAUGUAACGAUAGGUUAGACGAACGGCAUGGGAAGGCCGGCGAUACAGGGUGAGAGCCCCGUAGUCGAAAACCGACAAUAGCUAGCUGUAUCCAGAGUACCGCGGGGCACGUGAAAUCCCGCGGGAACAUGGGUGGACCACCAUCCAAGCCUAAAUACUACCUGAUGACCGAUAGUGGAGCAGUACCGUGAGGGAAAGGUGAAAAGCACCCCGGGAGGGGAGUGAAAUAGUACCUGAAACCCUGUGCUUACAAGCAGAUACAGCACGUUAAUGUGUAGUAUCGUACCUUUUGUAGAAUGGUCCGGCGAGUUAUUUUACGUGGCAAGCUUAAGGUAUUCAGUACCGGAGGCGAAGGGAAACCGAGUCUUAAUAGGGCGUCUGGAGUCACGUGAAAUAGACCCGAAACCGGGUGACCUAUCCAUGGGCAGGCUGAAGUGGAGGUAAAACUCCAUGGAGGGCCGAACCGACCCCCGUUGCAAUGGUGGCGGAUGACCUGUGGAUAGCGGAGAAAUUCCAAUCGAACCCGGAGAUAGCUGGUUCUCCCCGAAAUAGCUUUAGGGCUAGCGUCAGAUUAGUUUAGCGGAGGUAGAGCACUGAAUGAGCUAGGGGCCGAUGAGGUUACCGAACUCUAUCAAACUCCGAAUGCCGCAGAAAUGAUGUCUGGCAGUCAGACAGUGUGAGAUAAGUUUCAUUGUCAAAAGGGAAACAACCCAGACCCACAGCUAAGGUCCCCAAUACAUGCUAAGUGGAAAACGAUGUGGAGUUGCGAAAACAACCAGGAUGUUGGCUUAGAGGCAGCCACUCAUUGAAAGAGUGCGUAAUAGCUCACUGGUCGAGUGACUCUGCGCGGAAGAUUUAACGGGGCUAAGCAUGUAACCGAAGCUUGGGCUUGCACUUUUAGUGCAGGGGUAGGGGAGCGUCGUAUGCGGGGCGAAGCAUGAGCGGAAGCACGUGUGGACUUCAUACGAGUGAGAAUGCCGGAAUGAGUAGCGAGAAUUAUGUGAGAAUCAUAAUGGCCGAAAAUCUAAGGUUUCUUGGGGAAGGUUCGUCCGCCCAAGGUAAGUCGGGAGCUAAGGCGAGGCCGAAAGGCGUAGUCGAUGCACAUACGGUUGAAAUUCCGUAACCACCGAAAGGUUUAAGCGCGCUGACACAUGGAGAUAGCCGAUCCCGGGCGUUGGUUGACCCGGGCGUAAGGGACCGAACUAAGUAGGGAAGUCGGCGAUGCUCCGUGGCGAGAAAAGGCGUGAGGUAUAUCUGAGGUGCCCGUACCGCAAACCGACACAGGUAGAUGAGGAGAGAAUCCUAAGGCCAACGGGAGAAGGGUUGUCAAGGAACUCGGCAAGUUGACCCCGUAACUUCGGGAGAAGGGGAGCCGGAGAAAUCCGGCCGCAGUGAAUAGGCCCAAGCGACUGUUUAUCAAAAACACAGGUCUCUGCUAAAUCGAAAGAUGACGUAUAGGGGCUGACGCCUGCCCGGUGCCGGAAGGUUAAGAGGAGAGGUUAGGGAGCAAUCCCGAAGCUUUGAAUUGAAGCCCCGGUAAACGGCGGCCGUAACUAUAAAGGUAGCGAAAUUCCUUGUCAGGUAAGUUCUGACCCGCACGAAUGGCGUAACGAUUUGGGCACUGUCUCGACAGCCCGCCCGGCGAAAUUGUUGUACCGGUGAAGAAGCCGGUUACCCGCAACUAGACGGAAAGACCCCAUGGAGCUUUACUGUAGCUUAAUACUGGAGUUUGGUAAUGCAUGUAGAGGAUAGGUGGGAGCCUUUGAAGCAGGGCCGUCAGGUUCUGUGGAGGCGUCCUUGGAAUACCACCCUUGCAUUGCUGGAUUUCUAACCUGCGGCCGUGAAUCCGGUCGGGGGACACUGUUAGGCGGGCAGUUUGACUGGGGCGGUCGCCUCCAAAAGAGUAACGGAGGCGCUCAAAGGUUCGUUCAGCACGGACGGAAAUCGUGCAUUGAGUGUAAACGCAUAAACGAGCCUAACUGCGACACCGACGGGUGGAGCAGUAACGAAAGUUGGAGUUAGUGAUCCGGCGGUAUGUGAGUGGAAAUGCCGUCGCUCAACGGAUAAAAGCUACCCUGGGGAUAACAGGCUGAU